Long non-coding RNA from Rhincodon typus (whale shark), 3925 nucleotides. RefSeq lists it as uncharacterized. The record is from RefSeq and is a predicted model, not a curated record. The transcript has 3 exons. Lineage: Eukaryota; Metazoa; Chordata; Chondrichthyes; Orectolobiformes; Rhincodontidae.
GAAACUAUAAGAUCAAGUUAACAAACUCCUUCCUCUCACCUCUGGUACUGCCACUGUUCAAAGAAAUGUUUGGAAACAAUCAUACAUUUGGAUGUCAGGGAGAAGUGGAGACAUUCCCUUACAGAGGAGCAACUUGUCAGCUAAAUUCAGUCUCAUCUGGUUACCAGUCAACAGAAAGGUAAAAAGACCCCUACUCCAUGGAAUUACAUAUCAAAUGUGGACAGGAAACCAGAAGAAGCCUCUACUUGGAUCUAUACCCAAAUACACCACAAGAGGCAUGCAGUUUACUUUCUUUAUGUUGAUGGCUAUGACAAGAGUACAACCUGGAUGCUGCCAGUGGCAAAUUGUCCAAGCAACACCAUACUGAGAUCUGAACUGAAAACACUCUCCAAGUGUUUACACAAUUGCCUACUCCUAUUCAGUACACAUUGUGAGAUUGUCAAACCAGCACACAAAUUCAAUUUUUUUGUUCCAAUGUUGUAUACUUGAAUAUAUCAUUUUCUGUUUGAUUUUAUAUACAGUGUGACCUCUUUUAGUGUAGACACAGUUUGAGACUAAUACCUGCAUUGAACAAUAAUGGAUCAACAGUCAUGAGUUAUAGUACCUGUCUUAUAUUGUUCUACAAACAGAGAAAAAUGAAACAACUCUUUGCGUGCAUGUUACUAUGUGCGCAGAAUUCCAUUCAUUUGCAAAAACCACUCAGCUUUAAUGUUAUAGAAAGUCAGUGGGAGAGUCUGCUUUGCUAACAUUGAAACAAUUAAAAUUAGAAAGAAAAGUAAUGUGGAUUUAUAGGGUAGUUUUCAAGCCUCAAUACAUCCCAAAGUGGUUUGCAGACAAUUAAUAACUUUUUUUUAAAGAAUACACAAUGUUGUAGGAAUUGCAACAGACAAUAUGAAUACUACAAGAUCCUGUAAACUGCAAUGAGAUAACAAUCAGAUAAUCUCUUUUUAAAGUCACUUUAGGGUUAAAUAUUGCACAGGACAACAGGAAAAGUCAUUUGUUAAUUUCAUAUGAAUAUGUGAGGGUACAUGCGCUACCCUCAAAACAGCGUCUGACCAAGUUUUAUUUACAUUAUAAUUUUCCUUGGAAAUAACUAAGAGUUGGUGAGAGGUAACAAGCAUUUAGGAGAAGUGGAGACCAAGAUCAGAUGAAUAAUGGUCACUAUGUACAAUAUAUCUUGCUCUCUUUUCUCAGUUGAAGCCAAGAACUUCAUUGCAAACAUAUUUUAACUAGCCCAACAGCCAGAGAGGUUCAUUUUACUUUAAAGAAGCUGUUGAUAGGACAAACUUUUUCUGCAAUCUGGAGACCCAAUGGCAUCCCAGCCUGGACACAUGUGGAAUUAGUUUCACACAAGAGGCCAUGAAAUUCUGUCUGUGCAAUGAGAUUGCUCACAAUUAUUACUCCUAUCAUCACAGGUAACAGAAUUUUUAAAUGACCGGUUUUUUUUAAUACUGGUCCAGGUGUUCUCUUUUAUAGCAUAGAGCAGUACCUGUUGCAGGCUAAUGAUAUAAUUUAAGGCACAAUCAUGUUAAGGUAGCAAGUAUUUUUAUGGAUGCACUUAAUGUGACAUUUUAGGGUAGAGUUUCACACCAACCAUGGAUCACUAUGUACAUUUAAGCAAUGAUAAAUAGGCCAUUAACAAGGCAUUAACUACAUGUUAAUUUGGACAACAGAGAUAUGGCCUUAACCAAUCUUGUCAGCUACGUCACAACAACUUGCUAUGUACUUAUUAUCAAAAGGCUUAAUCAAUCUGUUGGAAAUAGAUGAGUUCUUUUUUAAAUAUCAACAUAUGUUAAACCAUUAAUUUAGAGUGCUGUUGGGAUAGUUACAUUGAGUUCAGUGGUUAAUUAAAAUUUGACAGACGCCCAAUAACCUCAGCCUAUACACAUUGAGCUCAAGGAAAAUAGUGCCAAUUAUUUUUCAUGGGAAUGUUACCCAUCAUAACUAUAAUUUUCUUUUACAUAUCACUUUUAACGGAGAAGUGUAUCCAAGGUUAUUUCACAUGGGGAAAAUUCAUAAAUACAUAGAACUUAAGAGAAAAGUUAACGAGCUGCUAAAGAUGGGGUUAAGAGGCUUGAUUUUAUAAGGCUUUUGAAAGAGAGAGUGAUAGAGCAAGGCACAGAGUUCAGAGAGAGUUAAGAGGAGAGUUACAACAUAAAUGAACAUUGUAGCUUAUCAGUGAAAUUACUCUUCACAAGGCAUUCAACGGGUUCAAAUAAUGUUUUAAUCUGUGUUACAGUUUAUAACCAAAUUUAGAACUCAGAUUGUACUUUGAAAUCAUUUCAAUGCAUCUGUUAAUUUUCACAAUUUGAAUAUAAUGUAACAUUCAAGAAUAUUCUUAAUCAAAUACGAGAGUUUUUAGCUGUCAGUCUUUUCAAGGUAUGAAUGCACAAUGGUGUUCACACUGAAUGAUUAAUGAUUUUACAUCAUUAUUGCAAGCUUAUAAAAAAGUGAUUUCAAGCUAUUUAAUGCCUCUGGGUAAAUGUACUGUCUAGAGCUGCACUGAUCAAAACAAGGUAGACAUUAUAUAUCACCCGCCACUACUCACAUAUUUUAUAUAAUAUUGACUAGUACCUAAAACGUCUACUGUAUCAAAUGUGGCCAAAGGAAGAGGAGGGUAGAAUAUUGGAAAAAUAUGUAGUCACUCAACUGCCAUGAACUAGAUGAAAAACACAUAAGAAUGUACCAUCCGGUACAUUUAAUGUUUCACUCAUGACAAUGACCAUAACUCCUGCAUGACUAUGUUGCUUUGAGUUAUCAAGUCUAGCAAUUUGCAAGAUACCAGAUCAUAGUCCUUGUAUGGGCUAUAGCAGUAGGAUUCCCUAGAUAUAUAUUCCCAAAAACCAGAGAAUUGUCAGGCAUGAAAUGUAUCUGGUUUAUAACAUCAUCAGCACUGUCAUCUUCUUCUUUGAUACCGAUAGACAAGAAAAAAAAAUAAGAUCUAGGCCAAUAUAAUCUAAUGUUGCACAAAUAUGCUUUUUAUGUAAUACACUUAAUUGAUCAUCUGAAAUUGCUCCAAUCUCCAAGAACAGAUCCAUAAGAACAAUACUUGACACUAGAGCUUAACAGCUUCAUUUGUUUAUUUCCAAAUAUAACCUGCUUAGAAGGUCAAAAGUUAUAAUGAUUGUACCAUUAAGGCUUUCUAGUUCAAAUGAAAAUAUUUUCACAAUACAACCACCUCUGCACUUUCCUGAAAUCCCAGUGAUAACACUGAUCUCUGUAUUUCAUUUUACACGAUACUUGAAUUAAAGCCCUAAUCAGACAGAAGAAGGCUUAUUUCUUUUCAGAAAUAGAAGUCAAUUUCACUACUGCACAUUAACUCCAACAGACAAUACACGGCAGUGGGUGUUCCUAUGAGCAAAAAUAAGCUAUUCAUCACUAUAAAUGACAGGUUGGUGCCUUUACCAGUCAAAAGAAUUCUUAGCUCAAAAUAAACAUUGUCUAGUUAAUAGUGACCACAGCUUUCAGUCUAUACCCUGAAAAAUUGGCACCUGGUUUACAGAAUUGACCUCAGAAAUGUAAUAAUAUUCAAGCUACAAAUUUGUGCAUUAUAACACACUCUUAAUCAGGCUGCAACUAUUGGAUCAAUAGUGUACUGCUUCAGCCCUCAAAUGUCAAUAACUAAAUGAUAUAUAUCAUGCCUUUUGUUAAUUCAAUAUAUUCUAUUCAACUACAGAUUAUAUAAGGCUUAAGAGUUAAUGAUACCUAAACACAGCAGAUUUUUAUUUAAAAAUACAGCUGUAUAACUGUUUAUGCACAAGGUGCAACCUUGUGAUCUGUCUGUUAAUUACUAUUGAACUCUCUAAGGAUUAUAGAAGCAUAUUUGCAUCGUGUCAAGACUACACAUAUAUAAAAUCAUCUUCAGAAAUGGGCACUUUCUCCCUAGAGUACAAAUAAUUAAACAUUAUUCCAUUUGUGCACCUAA